Molecule: ribosomal RNA, 324 nt
Filed under: uncultured bacterium
Lineage: Bacteria
Description: bacterial SSU rRNA
Rfam family: Bacterial small subunit ribosomal RNA
Source: RNAcentral
GAUGAACGCUGGCGGCGUGCCUAACACAUGCAAGUCGAACGAAGCGUCUUAAAGGAAGUUUUCGGAUGGAAUUUGGGAUGACUGAGUGGCGGACGGGUGAGUAACGCGUGGAUAACCUGCCUCAUACAGGGGGAUAACAGCUAGAAAUGGCUGCUAAUACCGCAUAAGCGCACAGUGCCGCAUGGCAGUGUGUGAAAAACUCCGGUGGUAUGAGAUGGAUCCGCGUCUGAUUAGCCAGUUGGCGGGGUAACGGCCCACCAAAGCGACGAUCAGUAGCCGGACUGAGAGGUUGAACGGCCACAUUGGGACUGAGACACGGCCCAG